This 452-nucleotide ribosomal RNA is filed under the name uncultured Diaphorobacter sp. RNAcentral describes it as "bacterial SSU rRNA". It matches the Rfam family "Bacterial small subunit ribosomal RNA", at positions 923 to 1382 of the family's 1533-position model. Lineage: Bacteria; Pseudomonadati; Pseudomonadota; Betaproteobacteria; Burkholderiales; Comamonadaceae. The record is from RNAcentral.
GCACAAGCGGUGGAUGAUGUGGUUAAUUCGAUGCAACGCGAAAACCUUACCACCUUUGACAUGGCAGGAAGUUACCAGAGAUGGUUUCGUGCUCGAAAGAGAACCUGCACACAGGUGCUGCAUGGCUGUCGUCAGCUCGUGUCGUGAGAUGUUGGGUUAAGUCCCGCAACGAGCGCAACCCUUGCCAUCAGUUGCUACGAAAGGGCACUCUAAUGGGACUGCCGGUGACAAACCGGAGGAAGGUGGGGAUGACGUCAAGUCCUCAUGGCCCUUAUAGGUGGGGCUACACACGUCAUACAAUGGCUGGUACAGAGGGUUGCCAACCCGCGAGGGGGAGCCAAUCCCAUAAAGCCAGUCGUAGUCCGGAUCGCAGUCUGCAACUCGACUGCGUGAAGUCGGAAUCGCUAGUAAUCGCGGAUCAGAAUGUCGCGGUGAAUACGUUCCCGGGUCUU